This 1371-nucleotide ribosomal RNA is filed under the name uncultured bacterium. RNAcentral's name for it is "16S ribosomal RNA". It matches the Rfam family "Bacterial small subunit ribosomal RNA". The record is from RNAcentral.
UUAGAGUUUGAUCCUGGCUCACGACGAACGCUGGCGGCGCGCCUAACACAUGCAAGUCGAACGAGCGAGAGAGAGCUUGCUUUCUCAAGCGAGUGGCGAACGGGUGAGUAACGCGUGAGGAACCUGCCUCAAAGAGGGGGACAACAGUUGGAAACGACUGCUAAUACCGCAUAAGCCCACAGCUCGGCAUCGAGCAGAGGGAAAAGGAGCAAUCCGCUUUGAGAUGGCCUCGCGUCCGAUUAGCUAGUUGGUGAGGUAAUGGCCCACCAAGGCGACGAUCGGUAGCCGGACUGAGAGGUUGAACGGCCACAUUGGGACGGAGACACGGCCCAGACUCCCACGGGAGGCAGCAGUGGGGAAUAUUGCACAAUGGGGGAAACCCUGAUGCAGCGACGCCGCGUGGAGGAAGAAGGUCUUCGGAUUGUAAACUCCUGUUGUUGACGAAGAUAAUGACGGUACUCAACAAGGAAGUGACGGCUAACUACGUGCCAGCAGCCGCGGUAAAACGUAGGUCACAAGCGUUGUCCGGAAUCACUGCGUGUAAAGGGAGCGCAGGCGGGAACACAAGCUGGAAGUGAAAUCUAUGGGCUCAACCCAUAAACUGCUUUCAAAACUGUUUUUCUNGAGUAGUGCAGAGGUAGGCGAAUUUCCCGGUGUAGCGGUGGAAUGCGUAGAUAUCGGGAGGAACACCAGUGGCGAAGGCGGCCUACUGGGCACCAACUGACGCUGAGGCUCGAAAAUGUGGGUAGCAAACAGGAUUAGAUACCCUGGUAGUCCACACCGUAAACGAUGAUUACUAGGUGUUGGAGGAUUGACCCCUUCAGUGCCGCAGUUAACACAAUAAGUAAUCCACCUGGGGAGUACGACCGCAAGGUUGAAACUCAAAGGAAUUGACGGGGGCCCGCACAGGCAGUGGAGUAUGUGGUUUAAUUCGACGCAACGCGAAGAACCUUACCAAGUCUUGACAUCCUGCGACGCACAUAGAAAUAUGUGUUUCCUUCGGGACGCAGAGACAGGUGGUGCAUGGUUGUCGUCAGCUCGUGUCGUGAGAUGUUGGGUUAAGUCCCGCAACGAGCGCAACCCUUACUGUCAGUUACUACGCAAGAGGACUCUGGCAGGACUGCCGUUGACAAAACGGAGGAAGGUGGGGAUGACGUCAAAUCAUCAUGCCCUUUAUGACUUGGGCUACACACGUACUACAAUGGCGUUAAACAAAGAGAAGCAAGACCGCGAGGUGGAGCAAAACUCAGAAACAACGUCCCAGUUCGGACUGCAGGCUGCAACUCGCCUGCAGGAAGUCGGAAUUGCUAGUAAUCGUGGAUCAGCAUGCCACGGUGAAUACGUUCCCGGGCCAAGUACACACGGCCCGUC